Molecule: ribosomal RNA, 429 nt
Filed under: Chloroflexota bacterium
Lineage: Bacteria; Bacillati; Chloroflexota
Description: Chloroflexi bacterium partial 16S ribosomal RNA
Rfam family: Bacterial small subunit ribosomal RNA
Source: RNAcentral
UGGGGAAUAUUGCACAAUGGGCGCAAGCCUGAUGCAGCCAUGCCGCGUGUAUGAAGAAGGCCUUCGGGUUGUAAAGUACUUUCAGUCGGGAGGAAGGUGGUAAGGUUAAUAACCUUAUCAAUUGACGUUACCGACAGAAGAAGCACCGGCUAACUCCGUGCCAGCAGCCGCGGUAAUACGGAGGGUGCAAGCGUUAAUCGGAAUUACUGGGCGUAAAGCGCACGCAGGCGGUUUGUUAAGUCAGAUGUGAAAUCCCCGGGCUCAACCUGGGAACUGCAUUCGAAACUGGCAGGCUAGAGUCUUGUAGAGGGGGGUAGAAUUCCAGGUGUAGCGGUGAAAUGCGUAGAGAUCUGGAGGAAUACCGGUGGCGAAGGCGGCCCCCUGGACGAAGACUGACGCUCAGGUGCGAAAGCGUGGGGAGCAAACAGG